AGGAAGAAACAGGAGGAAGAAGGAGAAAUGAAGAAUUUAGUAUCUACAUCAAGAACUCAACUGUGAGGCUGAGCUGCACUGAAUGUGUGGAACUGAGAUCUGACCUGUAGGGAGGAAAAAUUAGCUUAAGAUUACACCAAAAUACACAGAAUUAGAAGAUGUGGGAGGAGCCAGAUGUUUGGCUGUAUUUAUGCAACAAAAACUAGAACCAAAUUACAAAUUUUUGGCAUUACAUUGACAUUUGGAUGUGAUAGCAAAAACCCUAGAGCUACAUCUCAGACUCCACGGGCCUCAUGUAGCACAUUAAACAUUAAAGUUAAUGACAGCACAAGUAGAAAAGUACUGAAGAAGUAUGGCUUGUUUGGAAGGGUUGCAGGAGAAAGACCAAACCACAAGAUGUCUGAUUAAACCAAUGUUAUUUCCCCUUUUUAUACAGUAAUCUGUUGAGUGAAAGUUGUUAAUUAUGGCACUGAAAAAACACAUUGACAGUGAUGCUGUGUAUGUCUUGUGGGGAAAAAGAGGAAAAGAAAUCAAACCUGAAUUUUGAUAACAGUAUUU
Long non-coding RNA from Melanotaenia boesemani (Boeseman's rainbowfish), 558 nucleotides. RefSeq lists it as uncharacterized. The transcript is spliced from 2 exons. Lineage: Eukaryota; Metazoa; Chordata; Actinopteri; Atheriniformes; Melanotaeniidae. The record is from RefSeq and is a predicted model, not a curated record.